ACGAACGCUGGCGGCAUGCCUAACACAUGCAAGUCGAACGAGACCUUCGGGUCUAGUGGCGCACGGGUGCGUAACGCGUGGGAACCUGCCCUUAGGUUCGGAAUAACUCCCCGAAAGGGGUGCUAAUACCGGAUAAUGUCUUCGGGCCAAAGAUUUAUCGCCUUUGGAUGGGCCCGCGUUGGAUUAGCUAGUUGGUAGGGUAAAAGCCUACCAAGGCGACGAUCCAUAGCUGGUCUGAGAGGAUGAUCAGCCACACUGGGACUGAGACACGGCCCAGACUCCUACGGGAGGCAGCAGUGGGGAAUAUUGGACAAUGGGCGAAAGCCUGAUCCAGCAAUGCCGCGUGAGUGAUGAAGGCCUUAGGGUUGUAAAGCUCUUUUACCCGGGAUGAUAAUGACAGUACCGGGAGAAUAAGCUCCGGCUAACUCCGUG
This 432-nucleotide ribosomal RNA is filed under the name uncultured bacterium. RNAcentral's name for it is "partial 16S ribosomal RNA". It matches the Rfam family "Bacterial small subunit ribosomal RNA", at positions 29 to 507 of the family's 1533-position model. The record is from RNAcentral.